Molecule: long non-coding RNA, 2030 nt
Organism: Perognathus longimembris pacificus (Pacific pocket mouse)
Lineage: Eukaryota; Metazoa; Chordata; Mammalia; Rodentia; Heteromyidae
Exons: 3
Source: RefSeq, a predicted model, not a curated record
UGGUGUCACGACUUGCCUUUCUGUGCUUUGCUAUAUGAAGAACAUGUAUAUGGCAAACUCAAGGCACUUGAAUUGCAGCAACUCUCUUCUUCCUCUAUUAUAUGACUAACUUUACAUGACCAGCUAUCUCUCUGGGGAAGAACUUGCUGCGUGGUAUAUCAAGUGUACACGAGUGGGAUCCUUAGGCAAUAUUUUCAUAGUCAAUGGUCUAUAGAACACAGGGGAUUGUUUGGUACCACGUGUUCCAUAAGCUUGGGCAGGCACAAACUUCAUCCUCUCCUGGGCCUUUCAUCCCAUCAGCUUCAUAACACUCCUAAGCACUGCCUUCUUUUCUUAACUAAAGAAAUGGGGUUGCAUGCUAUCCUCACACUAUUGUAAGCAGCACAUAUCACUUGCACACUGUUCACUUACACUCUAUGUUCACAAGAAGAGGAAGGGAUUUGGGUGCGUAGGGGAGACUUUCAACAUGGAAGGAACUGUGCAACAGUGCCUGUGGGCAAGCUAGGCCCAGACCUGUGAGAAGAGAGUCUCCACAGGGCUUCUGCUUCCAGUGCAUGCCUGGGAAAGAGAAGUCUUGGAACCCACUGUGUCUCCCCUGGUCUUGGAUUUUUAGAGACAGUGAGUUCAGGCUAAAUCUUAAAUGGAGGUUAGGGUCUCCAAAGACCUGGUAAGAAAGGUUCAAAAGCAGACAUGACUCAUUCCUGCAAGAAGAAAGGGGAACUUGAGUUGGUUAAACUUAAUUAUUCAGAGCUCUUCCGGAAAUGGAGUCUUCAGGAGCUUCUGGAUGCUGUGUUAACUCUUUCAAGCCACAAAGGACCAUUUAGCGUUCUGAGGUGCUCCUUUAGAACUGUUAUUAUCCAAUUAACUAUAUUUCAAAAGAUACAAGCUGAAUUAAACACAGUUCCACCAUUAUUGCUGCCUAUUUCUAUCAAGGCUUUUCUCUAGAGGGGAUCAAGGUGAUUUAGAAAUUCCUAAUUAACAGAUAGUAAUUCAAUUAUGGUCUUCCUAUAAAAUAGCCCUAAUUUCAGGUCUGUUAUAACCAAGUAUAGAUGUUAGUUAAGAGAAGAAACAACUGGGACUUAGCUGUAAUGAAAAAAACAGCACUUAAGAGCACGGCAGAAUGUGCACAAUUGUCCUGAGCGGGAGAAGACCACACCUGCAUAAACUCAGUAAUGCCAUGAUUCUAACUACCAUUUCCUGAGGAGCUACUAUGCCCUGGGCUAUGUAUACAUAAUCUGACAGUCCACUGAGGUGGUGAUUCCAGGCCCAUUUUACAAAAAAAGAAAUGGACUUGCCAGGCCUCAGAAGGAAGCCCUAGAGCAGAGUACUCAUUAUCAGGGCUCACAUUCUUUGCUAACACCUCUGCUUGAAACAAAAACAAGCCACACCAACCACCUAUCUCUGUCCUGGGGCAUGCAAGUUCCCCUUUCAUUCUCUCAUUUCUAGUCAUAUUUCAUGUCCUUGAAUAAAAACAGUCUUAUACAGCAUGCUGUUCACCCCAUGACUAUCUACCUGGGUUACGUGUGAAUUUACUCUUGUAUUUACAGAGAUGUAUCCUUGCAAAUACACCAGGGAACAGAUGGGAUAAGGAUGAACUCAAGCUCUCCGGAGGCGGAGCUGGAGUCAGCCAAGGCUUUCUUCCUCGGAAGCAUAGGAGUACAGUAUGUCCUACUCACCAGGGUCAGUGCUGGGGCACCCCAAGUCCACAUGCUAAAAUCACUGCAAACCACAUCUCUGAUAAUUAGCUCAUGUAACAACCCACUUAUGAGCAUGCUUGGAAAAUCACCAAACAGUGUACACACGUGAGGGCUCUUGCCCAGCUCAAGGUGGCUUCACUAAGUCUAAAGGUACAUGGCCCCACACAGACAUGGAAGGUAGGAACCCGAUGAUGUAUUCAUCCUGGAAAUCAAGGUCAUUUUCAGUCAUUUAUCAUAUACACAUUUUGUGUGCCAUAUUCUGCUGUGUAAUGCCAACAGUGGUGAGCAGAACACAUAUGUGCCCUGCCAUCCUGGAGCUCAGACUAAGGGGAG